RNAcentral lists this ribosomal RNA (253 nucleotides) under uncultured bacterium. Its description in RNAcentral is "partial 16S ribosomal RNA". It matches the Rfam family "Bacterial small subunit ribosomal RNA", at positions 524 to 776 of the family's 1533-position model. The record is from RNAcentral.
UACGAAGGGUGCUAGCGUUGCUCGGAAUUACUGGGCGUAAAGGGCGCGUAGGCGGUUUGUGCAGUCAGGCGUGAAAUGCCCGGGCUCAACCUGGGGGCUGCACUUGAUACGUAUGGACUGGAGUGGGGAAGAGGGUCGUGGAAUUCCCAGUGUAGAGGUGAAAUUCGUAGAUAUUGGGAAGAACACCGGUGGCGAAGGCGGCGACCUGGUCCUUGACUGACGCUGAGGCGCGAAAGCGUGGGGAGCAAACAGG